Molecule: long non-coding RNA, 2560 nt
Organism: Stegostoma tigrinum
Lineage: Eukaryota; Metazoa; Chordata; Chondrichthyes; Orectolobiformes; Stegostomatidae
Exons: 3
Source: RefSeq, a predicted model, not a curated record
UGUAAAGGCUGGGCAUUGAGUAAAUAUAGAAUGACUUGUUUUCAAUCCAGUUUUAUUAUUUUAAUGAUUAGUGGAUCUCCUGCAAUAUUAAAGAAUGUGAGCAAAAGUAGCAAUGUAUGAUUAUCUAAUGAGCGACCUGUCCAUGGCAUUUUUCGUGACUCCAAUCCAAGCAAGACAAAGUCAAAGAUGUCACAGGUCAGAGAGAAAACUGUGUAAUGGGAGCAGUUGCAGAAAGGAAGGGAUCAAACCAUGGAAAAUGGUAGAAACAAACACAAAGUGCACCAUUCCACAAGAUUGGUUCAUCAGAGCAGCAUCUGUCUCAACAACCAGGACUGAAGGAUGUCACAUACCCCAAGGAACAGGUACAGCCUGAGGGACUUUGACCAGAGGAGACACAGGCCGGCAGCCAGGGUCAACAGGGUGAACGUUUCAUCCAUUGUUUGCAGAAAAUAUUUAACCCACCUUCAAGUGGAGUGAUCAUCCUGACCAGACCUAGGCCAAUUUUGGAAGUUUAACAAUCAUGAAUAAGUGAACCCAAAGUGUUUUAGUCCAAUGAAGCCCAGGGGGAAGUAACCUAUUUUGUCAUUAAUCAUACUAGAAAAUUUAGCAUCGAUUGUGCCACAUUGAGACUAUCUGUAUAUUUUAAACACAGUUAUUACUCAAAAUCUGAAUCCUGUGUCAGGUGCAUUAUUCAUCGUUCUUUAGUAUGAUUCAUAAAGGAACACCCGGCCCAGACACAUGUAAAUAAGUGAGUCUGGCCAUGACAUGUAGUGCUGAAUGACCCUCACAUGAUCAGAGACACCCUACAUAUGGUAUCCCAGCUGGUUUCUGGCAGAAACUUAAAUUGACAAAAUUCUUGCAGCGCUGACAUACAGCACUCUAAAAUUAUAAUAGAAAUGGCCACCUGAAGAUUUCAUUUACAUGCCGUGGCAGGGGAGGGGCUUUGCUGGAUAGGGAUGUUCUGGAAGUAAAUGCUGGCAACUGUUCAGCAGGCACUGUGCAGGACAGAGGAGCUCUCCUUUUGGGCACAAGUUGGCCUACAAAGGGGCACCUGAAGGGAAUGGUCACCCUGUGACCCCUCAUUUACACCUGGUGGGACUGGCCUGACUAGCCUCAGUGUCCCCAGACUCCACUUACUUGGCUGUGUGGGGCUAUAUAGGUGCAGCCCCAGCGAGGGAUACUGCUCUCCUGGUGGAGUCGGUGAUCUGAUAAUGUUCGUCAGUAUCGGGGGUAGGUGGCCACCCUUACCAUGACUUUACAGUAGCCUGUAAAAUGUUAUCCGGGUCCUACUACCUGCUAAAACAGUUUUGACCCAUGCCCUGCCGAGCAUCAACAAACUCCUACCUAAUUUGGUUACAGAGGUGAGAAUUCUACCACCUGAGAAAUAUCCAGCCCUUGAAGUCCAAAUUUAUUUAUAUUUGAUCAUAAGUUAGUGUUUAUAGUGAUAAUGAAUGGUUGAACUUUGGCAUUAUCUUAUUACAACAGAAAACAUCAAUAGGUUAUUUUGAUGGCAGUGAAGAUGGACUAUCAAUACUCAAAUUGCAUCAUUCGAUUGAGGUAUUUAUGGAUUAGAAGUUGGUUUUAAAAUGGUCACUGCUGACUUAAAAUGGCUGCUGUGAACACUUUACUAAGCCCAGGCAAUCCACGAGGAAUAUGAAAUCAGCUGCAUUGAAAUUACUAUUUUAAUCAAGGACUCAGUGAGGCACUAAGAAGUUUGCAACUCUUGUUUAACUUGUGCUUACAUGAUUAAUUUGUGUGUUGAGAGAUGAGAGGUUGCCUGGAAUGCGACAAUGGCACAGACACCAGAGUUCACAAAGAAAUAAGAAUAUCAACAGCAGCUUUUGAACAAACAGAAAAGACUGAUAACAGCAAGGAUACUGGAAGCUCUUGUUUCUCUCUGUCCACUUCAAACUCAGAAACCCGUUCUGGUGAAAAGGCAACUUGGAAAAAUAUCACUGUUCAUUGAGAACUCAAAGUAAAAAUUUGAAAACUUUGCCACUGUAAAAGAAACAGGAUAAAUACUUGAUUCAGGUCGGAAAAACCCAGCAGGUCAGACAGCAUCUGAAGAGCAGGUCAGUCAUUGUUUAGGGCUGAAACCCUUCAUCAGGACUAGUUGGCUGACUAGUUUUAAUUUAUUUGUGAUAGCUAUGUGGUAAAAAAGAAAAAAAAAACUGCUGUGACUGAUGGAGAGGGAUUUAAACAGAUGUCAGCCCCGCCUCACCUGUUCGUAAUGGGAUAUAACAGCCUAUCAAAGAAAUGGAAGAUUUUGAGGUGAGUGAAUAUGGAUGCUAUCAAAUCAAUAACAAAGAGAAAGAAAAUCACUAGGAAAACAAAUGCAGACAGCGGAAGAUCUGUUUUUACAUCAACAUCUUUUAAGAUAAAGGUGUUAAUAUUUUGUGAGUGACUGGAGACAGAGAACAAAAGUAGUGAGAGCUUCACAAUUUUCUGAAGAAGGGCCUAGUCAGCCUUCCUGCUCCUCUGAUGCUGCUUGGCCUGCUGUGUUCAACCAGCUCUACAUCUUGUUAUCUUGAAGCAACACAAUAAAUUAGUUUAAAAAUAA